This is a long non-coding RNA of Homo sapiens (human), 731 nucleotides long. Lineage: Eukaryota; Metazoa; Chordata; Mammalia; Primates; Hominidae. The record is from Ensembl.
AACUCCUUUGUCUCCUCUGGACUCCGGGUUCCUGCCGGGUGGUGUAGGGCUGGUUUCCCCAACAUCUGGUGCCGAAUGCAGGGCUCCCCGUAAUCUCUACAAAUAAUCUGGUGAAGGAACGCCAGAGCGUGGAAAGUGGAGGAGGACUGAGGAAGGAAGCCUGAGUACGUUUUCACUUCAAGCUCUACGGGAGGAUUGAGUACUCCAGGGGGAGUGAAUGUGAUGGGUUAUGCCUAAGGCUGAAUGAAAGCUGCUGGGUUGCUUUAGCUGUGAAAGUGGUCCAUUAUCACUCUUCAGACUUUCAGGUCCAGGCCACAGAUGAAAUUGUGCCAUACCUGGAACAAGCACUAAACCAAGUAUAACACCUUCCUUGGCUAUGCCUACAAAAUGGCACUUUUAUAUAUCCCUGGGACCAUCAUCCCGAUGAGGUGAAUUAUCCCCCUGAAACCUGCCUACAAAGAGAAUUGGGUCUUAUAUCUAGAUCCAUCAUCUGACUCUUUUCGUUUUCCUGCAGAGAUAUUGCUGGAGCAUGACAUAUAAGAUUCAUUUCAAAAAGUGAAUCUGAGAAAAUAUAGAAGCUGUGACCUUAAUAGUUUACAUUAAAAAAAAAAAGACUACCAAAGUGUGGAUAAUUGCAAGGGGCAGAAGAGCAGUUAUAAUGGCCUUCAUCAAUGUUUGUCAACUACCCAUAGCAAAACCUGUCAAUGAAAUAAAUGUGGCAAAGCUUUUGA